UUUUCCUUGUUUUUAUUUAGUAGCUGUUCUCUCAAACCAAUUUUCGUCUGACAGUUGUUGGUGAAUUAACUGGUUUGAAGAACUAUUUUACCCAGAGCCACGGAAAGACGCCAUGUUUCCUCUGCUGGCUUCCUGUGGUGGUGGCGUACAAUAGGCUUGUGAAGAAGAGUGGGAGCGUGCUAAAGCUUAGGGAAAUUGCUGAUUUUAUUUGAAAGAACCUACGUCCCACUUGUAUUUCAGUAUGGCUCGUGACAGCAGGAUCUACGUCGGCAAUUUGCCCCCAGACAUCAGAACUAGAGAUAUCGAAGAUUUGUUUUACAAAUAUGGAAAAAUCACAUUUAUUGACUUGAAAAACAAGAGAGGCCCACCAUUUGCUUUCGUUGAAUUUGAGGACCCAAGAGAUGCAGAAGAUUCUGUGAGACAGAGAGAUGGCUACAACUAUGAUGGUUACACAUUACGUGUCGAAUUCCCAAGAGGCAGUGGGGCAAUGGGAGGGGGCAGAGGCGGUUUUAGAGGAAGAGGAGGAUUUGGAGGGGGCAGAGGGGGUCCUCCAUCAAGACGGACUCAGUAUAGAGUUCUUGUAUCAGGGCUGCCUCCGAGUGGCAGUUGGCAGGACUUGAAGGAUCACAUGAGAGAAGCUGGCGAUGUUUGCUAUGCAGAUGUGUUCAAAGACGGAACAGGUGUUGUAGAGUUUCUACGCAAAGAAGACAUGAAGUAUGCUGUCAGGAAACUGGAUGACACUAAGUUUAGGUCUCAUGAGGGUGAGGUUGCAUAUAUUCGUGUGAAGGAAGACAACCCCCGCUCGUCCAGAAGUCGCAGCCCCUCGCCAAGACGCUCUAGAGGCAGCCCAAGAUAUUCUCCAAUUAGAGAUAGAGAGCAACGCUCCUAAAACGUCUCUGGUCAGGAUGGGAGACCGUCCAGAGGAGAUGGAGCGCUGGAGUCGGAUGGAUGGAAGAGGUCAAGGGAAGGGCUAAAGUGGUCGAGGAGGAUGCGGCCUUGUCUGGUCUCCUUGCUUCCUCUCUCCCUCCCGUCCAUCGGUGGCUCCUUAUUUUGUCGUUACGUUAUCGGAGGAUGAAUGCCUCAAUGUUUCAUGCAUAAAUGGAUAAGGAUUGGAAAAGAUUGGAAGGGAAGGAAUCUAAGGCUAAAGGAAAUGGAUUGGAUUUGGAUUAUAGGCAUUAUGGAUUUGGAAUGGAUAAAUUGGAAGGAGGAUGCAUUGGACUCUGAAUUGGGAAUGGAAAUCGGAACAAACACGGACUAGGAUCAUUGGAAGGAAUGGAUAAAGAAAUCAUGGGAUCUGAAGGAAUGAGCAUGUAAUUUGAAUAAGCAUGAAUCACAUGCAACAUUUUUUCUAUGUAGACACCUAGCAAUGGAUCUUUUUUGCUUGGAGACUUGCAAAGCAAUGCCUGGAAACACUGCCAGAAGGCUGAAACCAUCCCUUGUUUUGCAAAUUGGAAAGGAUGCUUUGUCGUGGAAUAUUCGGAUUUACGAGUCCGUUGGAAAACUCAACGAUGGAGACUUUUUUAUGGGUUGCGAGUAGGACUUGGGAGUGGGUUGGUUUGGUCACUAAGUCGAGAUUCCAUUCCAUACAGUAUACAGUACAGGUACCAUGGGUUAAUGCGAUCUUUAUCAAAAUCGAGAUUCUCGGCCACACUGGCACAAUAUAAAAUGGGAAGAGGAUUUUGGUUAUCGGAAGGAGGGAGGGGGUGCACUUUUAUAACUGCCCCUUGAAUUUUCUAACUCUUCCUAUCACUUUAUAUAAAGUUCCUUCCGAUUUUCAUUUUGUCUUCCAGUUUAUGGGGGAAAAUAUGCACCGUAUUGAACAAAAAAAAUUAUAUAAAUAGUGUGGAUUCUAAUUGGUAUAGGUAUUGACGGAUGUGAUCAAUUUUGUGCCCUCAGCUUAUGGAGGUCAUGAAACUUUUUUUUUUAAUGUGG
RNAcentral lists this unclassified non-coding RNA (1932 nucleotides) under Aplysia californica (California sea hare). RNAcentral's name for it is "serine/arginine-rich splicing factor 1A, transcript variant X3". Lineage: Eukaryota; Metazoa; Mollusca; Gastropoda; Aplysiida; Aplysiidae. The record is from RNAcentral.